AUUGAACGCUGGCGGCAUGCCUUACACAUGCAAGUCGAACGGCAGCACGGGAGCAAUCCUGGUGGCGAGUGGCGAACGGGUGAGUAAUACAUCGGAACGUGCCCAAUAGUGGGGGAUAGCCCGGCGAAAGCCGGAUUAAUACCGCAUACGACCUACGGGUGAAAGCGGGGGAGUCGCAAGACCUCGCGCUACUGGAGCGGCCGAUGUCGGAUUAGCUAGUUGGUGGGGUAAAGGCCUACCAAGGCUACGAUCCGUAGCUGGUCUGAGAGGACGACCAGCCACACUGGGACUGAGACACGGCCCAGACUCCUACGGGAGGCAGCAGUGGGGAAUUUUGGACAAUGGGCGCAAGCCUGAUCCAGCCAUGCCGCGUGCGGGAAGAAGGCCUCGGUGUAACG
RNAcentral lists this ribosomal RNA (398 nucleotides) under uncultured bacterium. RNAcentral's name for it is "bacterial SSU rRNA". It matches the Rfam family "Bacterial small subunit ribosomal RNA", at positions 29 to 430 of the family's 1533-position model. The record is from RNAcentral.